GAUGAACGCUGGCGGCGUGCCUAAUACAUGCAAGUCGAGCGAACAGACGAGGAGCUUGCUCCUCUGACGUUAGCGGCGGACGGGUGAGUAACACGUGGAUAACCUACCUAUAAGACUGGGAUAACUUCGGGAAACCGGAGCUAAUACCGGAUAAUAUAUUGAACCGCAUGGUUCAAUAGUGAAAGACGGUUUUGCUGUCACUUAUAGAUGGAUCCGCGCCGCAUUAGCUAGUUGGUAAGGUAACGGCUUACCAAGGCAACGAUGCGUAGCCGACCUGAGAGGGUGAUCUGCCACACUGGAACUGAGACACGGUCCAGACUCCGACGGGAGGCAGCAGUAGGGAAUCUUCCGCAAUGGGCGAAAGCCUGACGGAGCAACGCCGCGUGAGUGAUGAAGGUCUUCGGAUCGUAAAACUCUGUUAUUAGGGAAGAACAACUGUGUAAGUAACUAUGCACGUCUUGACGGUACCUAAUCAGAAAGCCACGGCUAACUACGUG
RNAcentral lists this ribosomal RNA (497 nucleotides) under uncultured bacterium. Its description in RNAcentral is "partial 16S ribosomal RNA". It matches the Rfam family "Bacterial small subunit ribosomal RNA", at positions 28 to 507 of the family's 1533-position model. The record is from RNAcentral.